CGGGAUGGGUGAGUAACGCGUGGGUAACCUGCCCUUAAGUCUGGGAUACCAUUUGGAAACAGAUGCUAAUACCGAUAAAAGCUACUUUCGCAUGAAAGAAGUUUAAAAGGCGGCGUAAGCUGUCGCUAAAGGAUGGACCUGCGAUGCAUUAGCUAGUUGGUAAGGUAACGGCUUACCAAGGCGAUGAUGCAUAGCCGAGUUUAGAGACUUAUCGGCCACAUUGGGACUGAGACACGGCCCAAACUCCUACGGGAGGCAGCAGCG
This 264-nucleotide ribosomal RNA is filed under the name uncultured Lactobacillus sp. RNAcentral's name for it is "partial 16S ribosomal RNA". It matches the Rfam family "Bacterial small subunit ribosomal RNA", at positions 98 to 356 of the family's 1533-position model. Lineage: Bacteria; Bacillati; Bacillota; Bacilli; Lactobacillales; Lactobacillaceae. The record is from RNAcentral.